Molecule: ribosomal RNA, 887 nt
Filed under: uncultured archaeon
Lineage: Archaea
Description: bacterial SSU rRNA
Rfam family: Archaeal small subunit ribosomal RNA
Source: RNAcentral
CUGACUGCUAUCGGAUUGAUACUAAACCAUGCGAGUCAUUGUAGCAAUACAAGGCAGACGGCUCAGUAACGCGUAGUCAACCUAACCUAUGGACGGGAAUAACCUCGGGAAACUGAGAAUAAUGCCCGAUAGAGCACUAUGUCUGGAAUGGCUUGUGUUUCAAAUGAUUUAUCGUCAUAGGAUGGGACUGCGGCCUAUCAGUUUGUUGGUGAGGUAAUGGCCCACCAAGACUAUUACAGGUACGGGCUCUGAGAGGAGUAGCCCGGAGAUGGGUACUGAGACACGGACCCAGGCCCUAUGGGGCGCAGCAGGCGAGAAAACUUUGCAAUGUGCGAAAGCACGACAAGGUUGAUCCGAGUGGUUUGUGCUAAACAGACCUUUUGUUAGUCCUAGAAACACUAACGAAUAAGGGGUGGGCAAGUUCUGGUGUCAGCCGCCGCGGUAAAACCAGCACCUCAAGUGGUCAGGAUGAUUAUUGGGCCUAAAGCAUCCGUAGCCGGCUCUAUAAGUUUUCGGUUAAAUCUGUACGCUCAACGUACAGGCUGCCGGGAAUACUGCAGAGCUAGGGAGUGGGAGAGGUAGACGGUACUCGGUAGGAAGGGGUAAAAUCCUUUGAUCUAUUGAUGACCACCUGUGGCGAAGGCGGUCUACCAGAACACGUCCGACGGUGAGGGAUGAAAGCUGGGGGAGCAAACCGGAUUAGAUACCCGGGUAGUCCCAGCUGUAAACUAUGCAAACUCAGUGAUGCAUUGGCUUGUGGCCAAUGCAGUGCUGCGGGGAAGCCGUUAAGUUUGCCGCCUGGGAAGUACGUACGCAAGUAUGAAACUUAAAGGAAUUGGCGGGGGAGCACCACAAGGGGUGAAGCCUGCGGUUCAAUUGGAUUCACG